AACCGGAUUACUGGGCUAGGCCGGAUUGUAAUCUGUAGAAGGUGCCUCGGGCGCGAUACCGGUCCAAGUUCCUUGGAACGGGGCGUCAUAGAGGGUGAGAAUCCCGUACGCGGCCGGCAGUCAAGCCCGUGCGAGGCCCUUUCGACGAGUCGAGUUGUUUGGGAAUGCAGCUCUAAAUGGGUGGUAAAUUUCAUCUAAAGCUAAAUACCGGCCAGAGACCGAUAGCGCACAAGUAGAGUGAUCGAAAGAUGAAAAGCACUUUGGAAAGAGAGUUAAACAGUACGUGAAAUUGUUGAAAGGGAAGCGCCUGCACCCAGACUCGCGCGCGGGUGUUCAACCGUCCUUCGGGGCGGUGCGCUCUCCCGUGCCCGGGCCAGCAUCGGUUCGGGCGGCCGGAUAAAGGCCCCGGGAAUGUGAUUCCCUUCGGGGAAUGUUAUAGCCCGGGGUGUAAUGCGGCCCGCCUGGACCGAGGACCGCGCUUUUGCUAGGAUGCUGGCGUAAUGGUUGCCGGCGACCCGUCUUGAAACACGGACCAGUAAGUCCCUCUCCCCCUCUCCCCGAACGAGCAGUUAUUUGAAAUAGGUACUUAUGCUAAUAUUUUUUGCAGAGGAGUCGACCAACCGCGCGAGUGUUUGGGCGUAAAACCCAUACGCGCAAUGAAAGUGAAAAUGGUAUGAGCUUCGGCGCAAUAUCGACCGAUCUUGAAAUUUAUGGAUGGAUUUGAGUAUGAGCGAAGUUGGUCGGACCCGAAAGAUGGUGAGCUAUGCGCGAAUAGGGUGAAGCCAGAGGAAACUCUGGUGGAGGCUCGCAGCGGUUCUGACGUGCAAAUCGAUCGUCAAAUUUGCGUAUAGGGGCGAAAGACUAAUCGAACCAUCGGGGGUAUAAACUACUAGGUGGUUAAUGGACGAGUCUCGGGACGUAUCGUCACCCGGGGCAACAUCGCUACUCCCAUGGAUCCUUUCGAAGGAAACAUGUACCGGAACCCCCCACUUCGGUGGAUUUCGAUCACAGACCAAAUGGCGGUGGCCUGCCGGGGCAGGUUCUAACAUGGUCGAGCCCCUCCCUUUUCAAAGGGAGUUUUGGAACAGCGCUAGUAGCUGGUUCCUGUCGAAGUUUCCCUCAGGAUAGCAGCAACGAAAACAGUCUCAUGAGGUAGAGCGAACGAUUAGAGGCCUUGGGGCUGAAACAGCCUUAACCUAUUCUCGAACUUCGAAUAUGUGAGAAGUCCUUGUUACUUAGUUGAACGUGGACAUUGGAUGAAUCGUGCUGC
Molecule: ribosomal RNA, 1270 nt
Filed under: Fissurina pseudostromatica
Lineage: Eukaryota; Fungi; Ascomycota; Lecanoromycetes; Ostropales; Graphidaceae
Description: eukaryotic LSU rRNA
Rfam family: Eukaryotic large subunit ribosomal RNA
Source: RNAcentral